RNAcentral lists this ribosomal RNA (506 nucleotides) under uncultured bacterium. RNAcentral's name for it is "partial 16S ribosomal RNA". It matches the Rfam family "Bacterial small subunit ribosomal RNA", at positions 30 to 523 of the family's 1533-position model. The record is from RNAcentral.
AUUGAACGCUGGCGGCAGGCCUAACACAUGCAAGUCGAACGGUAACAGAAAGCAGCUUGCUGCUUUGCUGACGAGUGGCGGACGGGUGAGUAAUGUCUGGGAAACUGCCUGAUGGAGGGGGAUAACUACUGGAAACGGUAGCUAAUACCGCAUAACGUCGCAAGACCAAAGAGGGGGACCUUCGGGCCUCUUGCCAUCGGAUGUGCCCAGAUGGGAUUAGCUAGUAGGUGGGGUAACGGCUCACCUAGGCGACGAUUCCUAGCUGGUCUGAGAGGAUGACCAGCCACACGGGAACUGAGACACGGUCCAGACUCCUACGGGAGGCAGCAGUGGGGAAUAUUGCACAAUGGGCGCAAGCCUGAUGCAGCCAUGCCGCGUGUAUGAAGAAGGCCUUCGGGUUGUAAAGUACUUUCAGCGGGGAGGAAGGGAGUAAAGUUAAUACCUUUACUCAUUGACGUUACCCGCAGAAGAAGCACCGGCUAACUCCGUGCCAGCCGCCGCCGUAA